RNAcentral lists this ribosomal RNA (449 nucleotides) under uncultured bacterium. Its description in RNAcentral is "partial 16S ribosomal RNA". It matches the Rfam family "Bacterial small subunit ribosomal RNA", at positions 29 to 523 of the family's 1533-position model. The record is from RNAcentral.
AACGAACGCUGGCGGCAUGCCUAACACAUGCAAGUCGAACGAAGGCUUCGGCCUUAGUGGCGCACGGGUGAGUAACGCGUGGGAAACUGCCUAUUGGUGGGGAAUAACGACGGGAAACUGUCGCUAAUACCGCAUAAGCCCUUCGGGGGAAGGAUUUAUCGCCGAUAGAUGUGCCCGCGUCCGAUUAACUAGUUGGUAAGGUAAUGGCUCACCAAGGCGACGUUCGGUAGCUGGUCUGAGAGGAUGAUCAGCCACACUGGGACUGAGACACGGCCAAGACUUCAACGGGAGGCAGCAGUGGGGAAUAUUGGACAAUGUGCGAAAGCCUGAUCCAGCAAUGCCGCGUGAGUGAUGAAGGCCUUAGGGUUGUAAAGCUCUUUCGGGUGGGACGAUGAUGACGGUACCACCAGAAGAAGCCCCGGCUAACUUCGUGCCAGCAGCCGCGGUAA